Molecule: transfer RNA, 67 nt
Filed under: Valencia hispanica
Lineage: Eukaryota; Metazoa; Chordata; Actinopteri; Cyprinodontiformes; Valenciidae
Description: tRNA-Tyr
Rfam family: tRNA
About the family: Transfer RNA (tRNA) molecules are approximately 80 nucleotides in length. Their secondary structure includes four short double-helical elements and three loops (D, anti-codon, and T loops).
Source: RNAcentral
UAAUAUGGCUGAGUGUUUUAGCGGUGGGUUGUAACCCCAUAGACAGAGGUUUAAUUCCUCUUCUUAU